This 497-nucleotide ribosomal RNA is filed under the name uncultured bacterium. RNAcentral describes it as "partial 16S ribosomal RNA". It matches the Rfam family "Bacterial small subunit ribosomal RNA", at positions 28 to 507 of the family's 1533-position model. The record is from RNAcentral.
GAUGAACGCUGGCGGCGUGCCUAAUACAUGCAAGUCGAGCGAACAGAUGAGGAGCUUGCUCCUCUGACGUUAGCGGCGGACGGGUGAGUAACACGUGGAUAACCUACCUAUAAGACUGGGAUAACUUCGGGAAACCGGAGCUAAUACCGGAUAAUAUAUUGAACCGCAUGGUUCAAUAGUGAAAGACGGUUUUGCUGUCACUUCUAGAUGGAUCCGCGCCGCAUUAGCUAGUUGGUAAGGUAACGGCUUACCAAGGCGACGAUGCGUAGCCGACCUGAGAGGGUGAUCGGCCACACUGGAACUGAGACACGGUCCAGACUCCUACGGGAGGCAGCAGUAGGGAAUCUUCCGCAAUGGGCGAAAGCCUGACGGAGCAACGCCGCGUGAGUGAUGAAGGUCUUCGGAUCGUAAAACUCUGUUAUUAGGGAAGAACAAAUGUGUAAGUAACUAUGCACGUCUUGACGGUACCUAAUCAGAAAGCCACGGCUAACUACGUG